GAAAAUUUAGAAAUAUUUGUGCCUUGCAAGGAUGAACUUUAUUAUCUGUUUAUGUCUCAUUGUUGUGCUCUAACCUUUUGCUUACUAUCACAUGAAAGACACAUACAACAAAAAGGGUGGUUGGGGUUUGGAUACAAAAAGAGAAGCUGAAUUUAAAUGCAUCGAAGUGUAGAAUUACCUUUCUGAUCCUCCAUUAAAGCUGUGCAGAGAGAGAUACACAAACUACCACAAAAGAUAUUUCCGGAGUAGGAGUUUGCUUCUUGUGGAUUUUAUGCCUGUGAAGAAUGUCACUAAUUUUUGUUUUUGUACCACGGAGAAUGCUGAAGAAAACUUUUAAUUUUGAUUUGUGUUAUUUUGAAUUAUGAAUAACAUUAUGUAUUUAAACAUUAUAUAUGUAUUAUGGAACAUUAUGUACUGGGUUAAAUUUGUUAAUGUAUCGUUAUGAAUGCAAGAAUAUGUUUAUUAUCGAGAAAUUAUUAUUUCUA
Molecule: non-coding RNA, 485 nt
Organism: Camellia sinensis
Lineage: Eukaryota; Viridiplantae; Streptophyta; Magnoliopsida; Ericales; Theaceae
Source: RefSeq, a predicted model, not a curated record